GGAGACCAGAUGGAAAAGAAGCAAGGCCAGGAACAUUGGAGGUGGAUUCAAACUGUUCUAUCAUGGUGUAGAGAGGAAGAGAAAUGGAGUAGGGAUAAUCCUAAAGGAACAGCUUGGGAAAAGUGUUCUGGAUGUAAAGAGAGUGUCAGGCAGGAUCAUGAGCCUGAAGUUGGAGGUUGAUGGUGUGAUUUUGACUGUGGUCAGUUCAUAUGCACCACAGGUUGGCUGUCAGUUAGAGGAGAAAGAGGAAUUUUGUAGUAAGAUGGAUGAAGUGAUAGAUGGUGUCCCUAGAGAGGAGAGAUUGGUGAUUGGUGCAGACUUCAAUGGACAUGUUGGUGAAGGGAACAGAGGGGAUGAAGAGGUGCUGGGUAUGUAUGGUGUGAAAGACAGAAAUGCAGAAGGUCAGAUGGUUGUAGAUUUUGCAGAGAGAAUGGAAACGGCUGUGGUGAACACGUAUUUUCAGAAGAGGGAAGAACACAGGGUGACAUACAAGAGUGGAGGGAGGUGCACACAGGUGGAUUAUAUCCUUAGCAGGAGAUGCCACCUAAAGGAGAUUGGAGACUGUAAAGUGGUACCAGGGGAAAGUGCAGCAAGGCAGCAUAGGGUGGUUGUCUGUAGAAUGAGAUUAGAAACAAAGAAGAGGAAGAGAGUGAAGACAGAGCCAAAGACUAGAUGGUGGAAGCUGAAGGAGGAGGAUGGUUGCAGGCAGUUCAGGGAGAAAUUGCAACAGGCCCUUGGGGGCAGUGAGGAGCUACCUGAGGACUGGGAAACUACAGCUAAGGUGGUGAGAAAAACUGGCAGGAAUGUGUUGGGUGUUUCGUCUGGUCAGAGGAAAGAAGACAAGGAAAGUUGGUGGUGGACUGAGGAGGUCCAGGAGAGUAUUCAGAAGAAGAAGGCAGCUAAGAAAAAGUGGGAUAACCAGAGAGAUGAAGGAAGUAGGCAGGAGUGCUGUGAGGCUGGUCGCAUAGUGAAAAGAAUGGUGGCAAAGGCAAAGGCUCAGGCCUGUGAUGAGCUGUAUGAGAGGCUGGACAGUAAAGAAGGAGUAAAGGACUUGUAUCGUUUGGCUAAACAGAGAGAUAGAGCUGGAAAGGAUGUACAGCAGGUUAGGCUGAUAAAGGAUAGAGAGGGAAAUGUACUAGUGAGUGAACAGAGAGUGUUGAGUAGAUGGAAGGAGGACUUUGAAGAACUAAUGAAUGAGGAAAACGAGAGAGAGAGGAGGACAACGGGGGGAGAGAUAGUGGAUCAGGAAGUGCAGAGAAUUAGUAAGGUGGAAGUGAGGGCAGCUUUAAAAAGGAUGAAGAAUGGAAAGGCAGUUGGUCCAGAUGACAUACCUGUGGAGGUAUGGAGAUGUUUAGGAGAGAAGGCAGUGGACUUUUUAACCAGGUUGUUUAACAAAAUCCUGAAGAGUGAGAGGAUGCCUGAUGAGUGGAGAAGCAGUGUACUGGUCCCCAUUUUUAAGAACAAGGGUGAUGUGCAGAGCUGCAGUAACUACAGAGGUAUAAAGUUGAUGAGCCACACCAUGAAGGUAUGGGAAAGAGUUGUUGAAGCAAGGCUGAGGCGAGAGGUUCAGAUCAGUGAGCAGCAGUUUGGUUUCAUGCCCAGAAAGAGCACCACAGAUGCAGUUUUUGCGUUGAGAGUGUUGGUAGAGAAGUACAGAGAAGGUCAGAAGGAGCUGCAUUGUGUCUUUGUGGAUCUAGAGAAGGCAGAUGAUAGGGUGCCAAGAGAGGCAAGGCAAGGCAAGGCAAGUUUAUUUAUAUAGCACCUUUCAUACACAACGGUCAUUCAAAGUGCUUUACAAAUGAAAAAAUAGAGAAAAAUGCAAUUAAUGUAAAUAAAAUAAAAUUUAUGUAAAUUAAUUAAAACAAUAGAUUUAAAAGAAGUAAUC
Long non-coding RNA from Pygocentrus nattereri (red-bellied piranha), 1885 nucleotides. The record is from Ensembl. Lineage: Eukaryota; Metazoa; Chordata; Actinopteri; Characiformes; Serrasalmidae.